ACGGCCCAACAAAUCUGUACCAUAAACACAUACGCACAGUUAAAUACACAACACACACACUGUUAAAGAGAUGUUAUAAAGAGAAUUACCACAGUGGUGCGAUGGCGUGUAGUUGCAGAUCAAUUAUUAAAACUCUGUCAGAAGAAAACAAAAAGCUAGAUGAGAAAGAGGGGUUCGAGAAGAGAAGGAGUUGGUGGUGGUUUGUGCUCGUUGGUAAGGGGGCGGCUGCCGGUGAAGAUGGGUUUCGUGUACGAAGGUGCAAGGUGGCAUUGGACUUUCUGAAGUAGCUAAGAGGAAGUGGCGAUGAUAGUGACGAUGGGAAUGUAGGACUUGUCUGGUGUGAUAUGGAGAAGAUGGUAGCGGAGGCGGCUAGGGUUUAUAGACGGUGUCGAUAGGACAUGAAGGUCGUGAGAGAAGCGGUGGUAGCGUCUAUAACCGGUGAUAAGAGAGAUGGAAAUUCGUUUUACAAUUAUCAACCCAAAAACCAUAAAUAUGUCAGUCGUUUCAAUUCCACACUAAAUCGAUUAAAUAUAAGCGAUUAAAGAGGCAUGAUUUUUAGGGCUUACUGAUGGAUGAUAUGGUGCCGAUGGUGAGCGCGAAAGGUUGGUCCGUGCAUCGAUGGGUACCUGAUAAAGAUGGUGCACCGGAGGUGGAGCAGGUGAUGAUUACCGAUGAGAAAACUUAGAGGGUGUUUGGAUAAAUGCAUUUUUAGCUUAAUUAGCUUAUUGCUUAUCGUUUAUUGUGGUGGGAAUAAGCAUUUUUUUAAAAUGUGUUUGGAUUAGUUUAUUGCGGUGGGAAUAAACAAUAAGCAAUAAGCAUUUGAAGUGUUUGGCAAACAAAACAGCUUAUAUGAGUAAAAUGACUAAUAAGCA
RNAcentral lists this long non-coding RNA (872 nucleotides) under Lactuca sativa (garden lettuce). RNAcentral's name for it is "long non-coding RNA (LSAT_LNC001702)". Lineage: Eukaryota; Viridiplantae; Streptophyta; Magnoliopsida; Asterales; Asteraceae. The record is from RNAcentral.